This 745-nucleotide ribosomal RNA is filed under the name uncultured bacterium. RNAcentral's name for it is "bacterial SSU rRNA". It matches the Rfam family "Bacterial small subunit ribosomal RNA", at positions 22 to 743 of the family's 1533-position model. The record is from RNAcentral.
GCUCAUAAUGAACGCUGGCGGCGUGCCUAACACAUGCAAGUCGAACGAGAAAGCCCAGCUUGCUGGGCAAGUAAAGUGGCNNNCGGGUGAGUAACGCGUGGAUAAUCUACCUUUGUCUGGGGGAUAACAUACCGAAAGGUGUGCUAAUACCGCAUAACGUGAUCGAGUUGCGAUUUGAUCACCAAAGAAGGCCUCUCCAUGGAAGCUUUCGGGUAAAGAUGAGUCCGCGUCCCAUUAGCUAGUUGGUAGGGUAAUGGCCUACCAAGGCUACGAUGGGUAGCUGGUCUGAGAGGAUGGCCAGCCACACUGGAACUGGAACACGGUCCAGACUCCUACGGGAGGCAGCAGUGAGGAAUCUUGCGCAAUGGGGGCAACCCUGACGCAGCAACGCCGCGUGAGUGAAGAAGGCCUUCGGGUCGUAAAGCUCUGUCAAGUGGGAAGAAACACCUGAAGCUGAAUAAUCUUCAGGCCUGACGGUACCACUGGAGGAAGCACCGGCUAACUCCGUGCCAGCAGCCGCGGUAAUACGGAGGGUGCAAGCGUUAUUCGGAAUUAUUGGGCGUAAAGGGCGUGUAGGCGGCCAGAUAAGUCAGAUGUGAAAGCCCAGGGCUCAACCCUGGAAGUGCAUUUGAAACUAUUUGGCUUGAGUGCGGGAGAGGAAAGCGGAAUUCCCAGUGUAGAGGUGAAAUUCGUAGAUAUUGGGAGGAACACCGGUGGCGAAGGCGGCUUUCUGGACCGACACUGA